RNAcentral lists this transfer RNA (71 nucleotides) under Marmota monax (woodchuck). RNAcentral's name for it is "tRNA.Ala". It matches the Rfam family "tRNA". From Rfam's summary of the family: Transfer RNA (tRNA) molecules are approximately 80 nucleotides in length. Their secondary structure includes four short double-helical elements and three loops (D, anti-codon, and T loops). Lineage: Eukaryota; Metazoa; Chordata; Mammalia; Rodentia; Sciuridae. The record is from RNAcentral.
GGGGUUGUGGCUCAGUGGUAGAGCGCAUGCCUAGCAUGCAUGAGGCACUGGGCUCUAUCCCCAGCACCACA